AUUGAACGCUGGCGGCAGGCCUAACACAUGCAAGUCGAACGGUAGCACAGAGGAGCUUGCUCCUUGGGUGACGAGUGGCGGACGGGUGAGUAAUGUCUGGGAAACUGCCUGAUGGAGGGGGAUAACUACUGGAAACGGUAGCUAAUACCGCAUAACGUCGCAAGACCAAAGAGGGGGACCUUCGGGCCUCUUGCCAUCAGAUGUGCCCAGAUGGGAUUAGCUAGUAGGUGAGGUAAUGGCUCACCUAGGCGACGAUCCCUAGCUGGUCUGAGAGGAUGACCAGCCACACUGGAACUGAGACACGGUCCAGACUCCUACGGGAGGCAGCAGUGGGGAAUAUUGCACAAUGGGCGCAAGCCUGAUGCAGCCAUGCCGCGUGUAUGAAGAAGGCCUUCGGGUUGUAAAGUACUUUCAGCGGGGAGGAAGGUGAUACGGUUAAUAACCGUGUCAAUUGACGUUACCCGCAGAAGAAGCACCGGCUAACUCCGUGCCAGCAGCCGCCGUAA
Molecule: ribosomal RNA, 506 nt
Filed under: uncultured bacterium
Lineage: Bacteria
Description: partial 16S ribosomal RNA
Rfam family: Bacterial small subunit ribosomal RNA
Source: RNAcentral